UAAAAAUACCUAUAAGACACAAGUCAUUGUGUCAUUUAUAGCGGUUAGUACGAGGAUUCGAUUAGCGUUUCUCGACAUCAGCAAUUAUGUUGUGCGAUCUGGACAUCGCGAAGUUUCGAUUUCGCGACAGAAUUCGUAUUAUAAACUGGCAAGAUAUUUAAAUGUGGCGAGGACGAAAAAGUUAUAUACAACAAAAAUGAAGAGGAUUUUGUAAUCAAUUAUAAUCAGCAAAUUGAAAAACUAUUUAUUGAUAGCUUAUCCAAAGAAUUUUCCAAUCACAGAAUUAUCGCGGAAGAAACGGUAUUUGCAAUGCAAAAAAUGCCAGAAUUGACAGACGCACCAACAUGGUUCCUCGAUCCAAUUGACGGAACGUCAAUUUUAUGCAUUCGUUGCCUUAUUUCAGCAUAAGCAUAACUUUGGUGAUCCGCAAAGUGCUUGUUUUAGACAUUAUCUACAAUCCAUCGAACUCAGAGUUCUACACUGCGACAAAAGGCAAAGAUACUUUUCUGAAUGGAAAGCCGAUUCACGUCUCUAACAUCACUGAUUUAAAACAAGCAAUGCUAGGGAUUGAUGCGUCAGUUAUAAAAUAUGUGAAAAAGGACAAAGAUAUAUACAGCCAGACUAAUUGCUUUAAUCGAGGCGACGCAGGCUAACAGAAACAUUGGAUCAGCUGCACUGAGCAUGGCAUAUGUAACGCAGGGUGUAAUAGAUGUCUUACAUCUUGGAUGUUCUCCUUAAACCUUGGGAUGUAGCAGCAGAAACGCUGCUUAUACGCGAAGCGGGUGGAAUUGUUAUUGACUCGAAAGGUAGUACUUAUGAUAUUAUGAAGGCAAAUACUAUCGCAGCAAACAAAAGUCUAGCACGAGAGAUAUAUCUAAAAUAAUCAUCGAUACAGAUUUAACGCAAAGAAAAAGAACCUGACACAAGACAAAAAAUAAUUCACGUUAAUUCAUUCAAGAGCUGAGUGAAUAAAACAGGAGAAGGUGUGUUCCGGUAGCGAACGUAUCUAUCACGUAAUACAAGGAAAUUGUCUAUAAAAAUCAGUCUAAAGAAGUUUCUGUUAAAAAGUUCCAUUGACGCACUUACAGAUGUCAUAUCUACGAGAUCAAUUCGAAUAUAUUAACCAAUGUGCAAUAUUGUAAAAUGAGAA
Molecule: RNA transcript, 1150 nt
Organism: Acromyrmex echinatior (Panamanian leafcutter ant)
Lineage: Eukaryota; Metazoa; Arthropoda; Insecta; Hymenoptera; Formicidae
Source: RefSeq, a predicted model, not a curated record